UAAAAAAAUGAUAAUAAGUACAUAGGUUUAAUUUCAUUUAAAAAUUCUUUUCCAUUUUUCAAAAAGAAAAAAGAAAAGAAUUUAGAUU
RNAcentral lists this small nucleolar RNA (88 nucleotides) under Leptospira kirschneri str. 200802841. The record is from RNAcentral. Lineage: Bacteria; Pseudomonadati; Spirochaetota; Leptospiria; Leptospirales; Leptospiraceae.